GACGAACGCUGGCGGCGUGCCUAAUACAUGCAAGUAGAACGCUGAAGGAGGAGCUUGCUUCUCUGGAUGAGUUGCGAACGGGUGAGUAACGCGUAGGUAACCUGCCUGGUAGCGGGGGAUAACUAUUGGAAACGAUAGCUAAUACCGCAUAACAGUAGAUGUUGCAUGACAUUUGCUUAAAAGGUGCAAUUGCAUCACUACCAGAUGGACCUGCGUUGUAUUAGCUAGUUGGUGGGGUAACGGCUCACCAAGGCGACGAUACAUAGCCGACCUGAGAGGGUGAUCGGCCACACUGGGACUGAGACACGGCCCAGACUCCUACGGGAGGCAGCAGUAGGGAAUCUUCGGCAAUGGACGAAAGUCUGACCGAGCAACGCCGCGUGAGUGAAGAAGGUUUUCGGAUCGUAAAUGCUCUGUUGUAAGAGAAGAACGAUGUGUGAUGAUGUGGAAAUGUUCACACUGUGAC
Molecule: ribosomal RNA, 466 nt
Filed under: Streptococcus mitis
Lineage: Bacteria; Bacillati; Bacillota; Bacilli; Lactobacillales; Streptococcaceae
Description: bacterial SSU rRNA
Rfam family: Bacterial small subunit ribosomal RNA
Source: RNAcentral